AACAACAUUGGUUUCCACUAAUUUUAUCUCAAUUUAUCACAAUAAUAAGUCUUUACAUUAACAGAUGAUGAACAAAGGAAGAAAGUGAAUUGGCUACAAGACAAGCAUGCAAAUCUGUGAUGAGGGCUUAAACAAACCACACCCAUGCAUCAGGAAGCAGCUAGAAAACAUGGACCAGUGCAACCAGAUACAAACAAUUUGACUCCUCUACCUUGUGAUUCAUAGCUA
Molecule: long non-coding RNA, 228 nt
Filed under: Physcomitrium patens
Lineage: Eukaryota; Viridiplantae; Streptophyta; Bryopsida; Funariales; Funariaceae
Description: long non-coding RNA (PPAT_LNC001573)
Source: RNAcentral